GAUGAACGCUGGCGGCGUGCCUAACACAUGCAAGUCGAACGGAGAUUACGGACGGAAGUUUUCGGCUGGAAGACUGUAAUUCUUAGUGGCGGACGGGUGAGUAACGCGUGGGCAACGUGCACUAUACAGGGGGAUAGCAGCUGGAAACGGCUGGUAAGACCGCAUAAGUCGGUUAAAUCGCAUGAUUUGCUGGGGAAGUGGGCAAUCGGGCAUAGGAUGGGGCCGCGUCCGAUUAGCCAGUUGGCAGGGUAAAAGCCUACCAAAGCGACGAUGGGUAGCCGGACGGAGAGGUGGGACGGCCACGAUGGGACUGCGACACAGCCCAAACUCCUACGGAGGGCAGCAGAGGAGUAUAUUACACGAUGGAGGAAACUCUGAUGCAGCCACGCCGCGUAAGUGAAGAAGUAGUUCGGUAUGUAAAGCUCUAUCAGCAGAGGAGAUGAUGACGGUACCUGACUAAGAAGCCCCGGCUAACUACGUG
RNAcentral lists this ribosomal RNA (481 nucleotides) under uncultured bacterium. RNAcentral describes it as "partial 16S ribosomal RNA". It matches the Rfam family "Bacterial small subunit ribosomal RNA", at positions 28 to 507 of the family's 1533-position model. The record is from RNAcentral.